This 459-nucleotide ribosomal RNA is filed under the name uncultured bacterium. RNAcentral's name for it is "partial 16S ribosomal RNA". It matches the Rfam family "Bacterial small subunit ribosomal RNA", at positions 338 to 795 of the family's 1533-position model. The record is from RNAcentral.
CCUACGGGUGGCAGCAGUGAGGAAUAUUGGUCAAUGGGCGCGAGCCUGAACCAGCCAAGUCGCGUGAGGGAAGACGGUCCUAUGGAUUGUAAACCUCUUUUGUCGGGGAGCAAAAGACGCCACGCGUGGCGUUCCGAGAGUACCCGAAGAAUAGGCAUCGGCUAACUCCGUGCCAGCAGCCGCGGUAAUACGGAGGAUGCGAGCGUUAUCCGGAUUUAUUGGGUUUAAAGGGUGCGCAGGCGGAAGAUCAAGUCAGCGGUAAAAUUGGGGGGCUCAACCUCUUCGAGCCGUUGAAACUGGUUGUCUUGAGUGAGUGAGAGGUAUGCGGAAUGCGUGGUGUAGCGGUGAAAUGCAUAGAUAUCACGCAGAACUCCGAUUGCGAAGGCAGCAUACCGGCGCUCAACUGACGCUCAUGCACGAAAGUGUGGGGAUCGAACAGGAUUAGAUACCCCUGUAGUC